AGUGGCAGACGGGCGAGUAACACGUGCUUAAUUUGCCUCGGAGCGGGGAACAACGGUUGAAAGGCCGCUAAUUCCCCAUACGAUCCUAGAAAUGAAAAUACUAGGAUGAAAGGUUUACCACUCUGAGAGAAGAGCGCGGCCUAUUAGAUAGUUGGUGAGGUAACGGCUCACCAAGUCGAUGAUGGGUAGCUGGUCUGAGAGGAUGAUCAGCCGCAAUGGAACUGAGACACGGUCCAUACCCCUACGGGGGGCAGCAGUGGGGAAUAUUGGACAAUGGAGGAAACUCUGAUCCAGCGACUCCGCGUGGAGGAUGACGCAUUACGGUGUGUAAACUCCUUUUUUGGAGGAAGACGACUGACGGUACUCCAAGAAUAAGCGACGGCUAACUACGUGCCAGCAGCCGCGGUAAUACGUAGGUCGCAAGCGUUAUCCGGAUUUACUGGGCGUAAAGCGUCCGCAGCCUGUUUUGUAAGUCUAUUUUCAAAACCCAGAGCUCAACUUUGGACAGGGAAUAGAUACUGCAUUACUAGAGUAUUGUAGAGGUAAGUAGAAUUUCCUGUGGAGGGGUGAAAUCCGUUGAUAUAGGAAGGAAUGCCAAAAGCGAAAGCAGCUUACUAUGCUCUUACUGACGGUCAUGGACGAAAGUAUAGGUAGCAAACGGGAUUAGAUACCCCGGUAGUCUAUACUGUAAAUGAUGCUCGCUAGGUGUUUUCAUCAAUUUAUUGGUGGGAGUGCCGUAAGCUAACGCGUUAAGCGAGUCGCCUGGGUAGUAUAGUCGCAAGACUGAAACUCAAAGGGAUAGGCGGGGGAACACACAAGCAGUGGAUUGCCUCGAUUAAUUGGAUAAUAAGCCAAGAAUCUUACCUCGGCUUGACAUCUGUAGAAUUUUUUCGAAAGUUUAAAGUGCCUGGUUUACCAGGAGCUACAAGACAGGUGCUGCAUGGCCGUCGUCAGCUCGUGCCGCAAGGUGUCCGGUUAAGUCCGGGAACGAGCGCAACCCUCAUCGUAUGUUAGGAUGUCAUACGAGACUGCCUUCGCAAGGAGGAGGAAGGAGAGGAUGACGUCAGGUCACUAUGGCCCUUAUGCCGAGGGCGUCAGAGACAAUACAAUGGGUAGGACAACGGGUAGCAAAAUCGCGAGAUGGAGCCAAUCCUUCAAAACUAUCCUCAGUUCGGAUUGUAGUCUGGAACUCGACUACAUGAAGUUGGAAUUGCUAGUAAUGGCGGGUCAGCCAUACCGCCGUGAAUAUGUCCCUGUUCCUUGCACUCACCGCCCGUCAAAUCACGGGAGCUACGGUUCUUUGAAGA
RNAcentral lists this ribosomal RNA (1307 nucleotides) under uncultured bacterium. Its description in RNAcentral is "bacterial SSU rRNA". It matches the Rfam family "Bacterial small subunit ribosomal RNA", at positions 94 to 1427 of the family's 1533-position model. The record is from RNAcentral.